Ricinus communis (castor bean) is the source of this 670-nucleotide long non-coding RNA. RefSeq lists it as uncharacterized. The transcript is spliced from 2 exons. The record is from RefSeq and is a predicted model, not a curated record. Lineage: Eukaryota; Viridiplantae; Streptophyta; Magnoliopsida; Malpighiales; Euphorbiaceae.
GUUUCUCCCCGGUGGAUGAGCCUAGCUCCUCCACAACAACAGCAAAGCCCAAUGAUGGUGUCACAACCGUUGUCCCAGUCGCCGACAUCACCGCUGCCGUUUGAAUGCUUAAGAGAGACGUCUAACAAAGAUUGGAAUUUUGUAGGAAUAGCUGUGAUGAAUGGGAAACAAGCUAUCUUCAGUGGGCAUCAUGACUAGCUGAAACAAUCCAAGAGCCGUCCCUCACCCUUGCUGCCUUUCCGACGGUUCACGCAGCGGCUGAAUAUCCUAUUUUUGCUUAUCAUUGCCUUCAAUUCUCGAUCUCUGUCUCAUUGCUAGCAUUGUUGGCUUCUUUGUGGUGGAAUAACCAAGCUCCUCCACAACAAGAGCAAUAAGAAUCGUUUGCAUCGUUGUCGCUGCCGCCAAUGGUAUCACAGUUGUUGCAGUUCCAGUUGCCGAUGUCAUCGUUGUCGUUCGGAUGCUCGAACUCAAACUCGCUACCGUAAUCGGCGCUACAGUCCUUAAAGUCGGACCCAUUAGUAUCAAAGCCUUCAUUAGACUCUCGGUCACUCAAAAAGAAAUUACAAAGACAUAUCAAAGUCCUCGAGAAGUUCCCUUUUCAUCCUUUGCCACGUGGUUAUUUUUAACUCGAUCCUUCAUUACAAUUUAAUCUAAAAUCUUAUUCUUUUAA